This 90-nucleotide unclassified non-coding RNA is filed under the name Pseudomonas gessardii. Lineage: Bacteria; Pseudomonadati; Pseudomonadota; Gammaproteobacteria; Pseudomonadales; Pseudomonadaceae. The record is from RNAcentral.
UGUGGGAGCGGGCUUGCUCGCGAUAGCGGUGUAUCAGGUAUCAGAUGUGCAAACUGACCCACCGCUAUCGCGAGCAAGCCCGCUCCCACA